Molecule: ribosomal RNA, 862 nt
Filed under: uncultured bacterium
Lineage: Bacteria
Description: bacterial SSU rRNA
Rfam family: Bacterial small subunit ribosomal RNA
Source: RNAcentral
AGCGUUAAUCGGAAUUACUGGGCGUAAAGCGCGCGUAGGUGGCUUGAUAAGCCGGUUGUGAAAGCCCCGGGCUCAACCUGGGAACGGCAUCCGGAACUGUCAGGCUAGAGUGCAGGAGAGGAAGGUAGAAUUCCCGGUGUAGCGGUGAAAUGCGUAGAGAUCGGGAGGAAUACCAGUGGCGAAGGCGGCCUUCUGGACUGACACUGACACUGAGGUGCGAAAGCGUGGGUAGCAAACAGGAUUAGAUACCCUGGUAGUCCACGCCGUAAACGAUGUCGACCAGCCGUUGGGUGCCUAGAGCACUUUGUGGCGAAGUUAACGCGAUAAGUCGACCGCCUGGGGAGUACGGCCGCAAGGUUAAAACUCAAAUGAAUUGACGGGGGCCCGCACAAGCGGUGGAGCAUGUGGUUUAAUUCGAUGCAACGCGAAGAACCUUACCUACCCUUGACAUCUACAGAAGCCGGAAGAGAUUCUGGUGUGCCUUCGGGAACUGUAAGACAGGUGCUGCAUGGCUGUCGUCAGCUCGUGUUGUGAAAUGUUGGGUUAAGUCCCGUAACGAGCGCAACCCUUGUCCUUAUUUGCCAGCGAGUAAUGUCGGGAACUCUAAGGAGACUGCCGGUGACAAACCGGAGGAAGGUGGGGACGACGUCAAGUCAUCAUGGCCCUUACGGGUAGGGCUACACACGUGCUACAAUGGCCGGUACAAAGGGCUGCGAGCUCGCGAGAGUCAGCGAAUCCCUUAAAGCCGGUCUCAGUCCGGAUCGGAGUCUGCAACUCGACUCCGUGAAGUCGGAAUCGCUAGUAAUCGUGAAUCAGAAUGUCACGGUGAAUACGUUCCCGGGCCUUGUACACACCGCCCGUC